This 1161-nucleotide long non-coding RNA is filed under the name Oryctolagus cuniculus (rabbit). Its description in RNAcentral is "lncRNA (ENSOCUG00000038483.1)". The record is from RNAcentral. Lineage: Eukaryota; Metazoa; Chordata; Mammalia; Lagomorpha; Leporidae.
AACUUUAAACCCAUGCCUAAUUUUUUUUCAUAAUAUGCAUUCACUAUGAAUUUUUUUGAAGAUCUCUCAUAUGCUUCUGGUUUACAUGUUUACUCUACUACUCUACUACAGUUUUUGUCAUUCUGUGUACAAAAGAAACUUACUGUAAAACAGUAACAGCAGCAGCAGCUUCAUACAUUUCGUGUUUCUGCAUCUCUAGAUUGCAUUAUUUUUCUUGUGCUUGAUUUGACCUCCUCUUAUUUUGGUCAGUCUGGCCCCAGCAGCAGUAGGCAAUAUCCCAUACAGUCCAGGUGUGUAGUAGGCUAUACCAUGUAGGUUUACGAAAACAUAAGAGGUUUUUGAAAAAGUUCGUGGAAAAUUUCUAUUAUUAAAAACAUGCUGGGUUUCCAAAAAUUUCUUGCACAAAACUAAUUUUAUAUUUCAAUCUCAUUUGUGAACUUUCUGAAGUACUCUUCAUAUACUGCAAAGCCCACACAAUGAGAGAAGGAGAGAAAGAGAGAGAGAGAGAGAGUGAGAGAGAGAGAAUGAGAGGAGUCCCAACAAUUUUCAUUCUUGGAUCAAUUUUGAAUUAAUCUUGGACUUGUAUCCAAGAUCAAGGUCCCCUCUUCUCAUUACUGUGCCCUGCUAAUAACUCCUGUUUUAUGUAUGUGGAAGCUAAUUAGCAAUGCUUGGCAUUUCUUUGUGUUUCUAUUUUACAGUGGAAAUCAUUAAGAAAAAUGAGCAGUGGGAGAAAAUGCAUGAAUGGGACAGUUACAUUUAUUGGGCAGCCAGUACCCUCAUAUACCCUGGCUGAAGUGAAUCUAGGACUUCUAUUUGAAUUCUCAACCGUGGUGUGAAAAUGAGAGGAACAUUUCAGGAAUACUUCAGUUCCUGUCAACUGACAGCAGUCAAUCACAGACGUGGGAGCCCAAUAAAAAAGCCCAGCGUGCCAUCUGCCUCCCCGGGAACCAUUUGGUUGCGGGACAAAGCUUUGCUCCAGGCUGAACAUUCUGGAAGAAUUCCCAGAAACUAUGAAAGACGUUUCUAAAGAAGUACACCAGGAAAAAGAUGAAGGUGUGGAAUGCAGGUGAACACAGGGCAAUCUGGCACCUGAGAGAAAUGAAAACAAGCCCCAUGGGGGAUGGACAAGAAAUGUUCCCAGAGACCAGUUGUGCAGCAGGG